RNAcentral lists this ribosomal RNA (166 nucleotides) under uncultured bacterium. RNAcentral describes it as "partial 16S ribosomal RNA". It matches the Rfam family "Bacterial small subunit ribosomal RNA", at positions 1335 to 1500 of the family's 1533-position model. The record is from RNAcentral.
CUAGUAAUCGCGGAUCAGCAUGCCGCGGUGAAUACGUUCCCGGGGCCUUGUACACACCGCCCGUCACNCCAUGGGAGCCGGUAAUACCCGAAGUCAGUAGUCCAACCUCGUGAGGACGCUGCCGAAGGUAGGAUUGGCGACUGGGGUGAAGUCGUAACAAGGUACC